AGGAUGAACGCUGGCGGCGGUGCCUAACGACGAUGCAAGUCGAACGUCCUGUCUCGCAAGAGGCAGGGAGUGGCGGACGGGUGAGUACCACGUGGGUCAUCUACCGUGAGGUGAGGAAUACCGGCGAGAAAUCGCCGACAAGACCGCAUAGGCUCGAUGCAAGUCGAGCAAAGCUCUUUCGAGAGAGGGAGCGCCACACGAGGAGCCUGCGCCCGAUUAGCUAGCUGGUGGAGUAACGGUUCACCAGGGCGACGAUCGGUAGCUGGUCUGAGAGGACGAUCAGCCACACUGGGAUUGAGAACGGCCCAGACUCCUACGGGGGGCAGCAGUGAGGAAUUUUCGUCAAUGGGGGCAACCCUGAACGAGCAACGCCGCGUGCAGGAAGAAGGUUUUCGGAUCGUAAACUGCUUUUCUCGGGGAAGAGAACGGACGGUACCCGAGGAAUCAGCCCCGGCUAACUACGCGCCAGCAGCCGCGGU
Molecule: ribosomal RNA, 479 nt
Filed under: uncultured bacterium
Lineage: Bacteria
Description: SSU rRNA
Rfam family: Bacterial small subunit ribosomal RNA
Source: RNAcentral